AUGCGCUACAUCAGAUAAAGACAAAAGAGAGCCAGCAAAGAGGACCCCAGCCCCAGCUUGAUGUUGUGGGGAGCUAUGAAAGACUGUGGGACAUCUACUUCAGAGUCAUCCUGGCCCCAGGGCAGAGGAUCUGGGUGUUAUCCAUCAACUGUCACUUACACUCUGACAGGUUAUCAGCUCCAGCUCAAAUAACAUGAGAAUGAGAAAGGACUACUGCAGCAUGUUCAACAUAUGAAACUCUUCCCAUGAGCUGCUUGGAAAUGGCACAUCAAAAAGCACCAUUUGAUGAAGAAAAAUAUGCUCUUAAAGAUAACUUCUAAUGCCUUCUAUGUCAUAGCUUCAACUGCAUUCCUCAUGUUCUGAACAGUUUCAGAGAGCAAAAACCAUAUGAGACAUAUACCAAGAAAAUAUUCUAAUGAGGAUUACCAUUCUGAGUGAAACAAGUAAAUAAACCAGGAAGACUUGUCUUGA
This is a long non-coding RNA of Mastomys coucha (southern multimammate mouse), 471 nucleotides long. RefSeq lists it as uncharacterized. The transcript has 2 exons. Lineage: Eukaryota; Metazoa; Chordata; Mammalia; Rodentia; Muridae. The record is from RefSeq and is a predicted model, not a curated record.